GCAGUUUGUCCUAAUUUUGGCAAACGUUGGACACCAUAUAUGAGUUGAAUAUUUUAGGUAUUAAACAGCAGAAAUUAUUUAAUUUAAUUAACAUUCCUAAAAAUGCUGAAUAAAUAUUUUUGAAGACUUAACCACACAUUCACAUACACAUGGAGUGUUUAAAUGGCCUCUGGCACUUUUAACUCUUGCUGUGUCCAAAUUCAGAAGUAGCAAGCUUCGAAGGACAUAUUUGUAGGCAAUGAUGUCACAGUGACGCAACGAAGGGUGUCCAAAUUCGAAGAGUCCUCCAAAUGUGGCGACAAAUGCGUCCUUCAUUUCCCCGAAUUUGAAGGAUGGGUCGGUGUAUCCUUCGUGUCCUACCAUAUGCCAGGAUUCAUUGCGGGCCAUACAGGGGAUUUUUUCUGAUAACAAUGGCGGUCGAAGCGGGAGUUAAUGCGGGAGAGGAAAACACUUUCAAAUGGUACAAAGACCAAACGGCUCAAUUUAUUAAAACGAGGAGAUAACGAUCACCUCUUCACUGGGGUAAAGAAUUCGGCGACUGUGGCAUGCAGGUGCAAAGCUUUACCUGCAUCUCAGGUGAUUGCAUGGGGGUGUGGUCGCAGUUUAUUUACCUGAUCCCGGUGUUCGCAGCAGGUGUGUUGGGUGAGUGGUUUGUGGGCAAACUUUU
Molecule: long non-coding RNA, 667 nt
Organism: Oreochromis niloticus (Nile tilapia)
Lineage: Eukaryota; Metazoa; Chordata; Actinopteri; Cichliformes; Cichlidae
Exons: 3
Source: RefSeq, a predicted model, not a curated record